AAACAUGUUGUCCUCGCAUCUUCCUAAUGGUUUAUUUCUGUAGCCUACUCGUCUGCUWUAUGGGGAUUAAUGACAUGAAGGGACRUGUGUGUGUGUGACUUCUUUAUUAGACGGGUGUCUGAUAAAGAAGCUAAACCCAGAUGACUAAAUCAACCCGYGGGUUUCUGUUCAGCACCUUGGACAGCACCUUCCACUACAAGCACAGUACAUAGGUUAUCUGCCUCUCUCUUGACCGGACAGUAGAUUAUACGUUCCACCUAGCCCUAGGUGGGAAAACACAACAAUUAGAAACAGACAUGGCAAAAUCAGCAGCUAUCUUGCUGGUGUUAAUUUCCUUUUUGUACAUCCUAUCUCAAUCAGCCCAUGUGGUUGCAGGAUGGACAGACGAAAGGCUACCAAAGGCUGAAGUUACAGAGGACUCUAGGGAACUGCUGGGUGUCCUUCAUAACGUCCUAGAGAAACUCCAAAACAGAAGAAUGGCUGUGUGGGAAAGAAGACAAAGCCACCUUCCUAGUGUAAGCAAGCUAUUUCAGACACCACAGGUGAAUAGUUGAAUAGGUGAUYGAUUUCCCAAAUGUGUGGGUCAGACCCUCUGGUGGGUUGUGGGUGGCACCUUUUGGAUUGCGGGUCAAGACUACAUUCUAGCUAGAGCAUGUUCUGGGGGAAAUAAAUAAACACUCUAAAAGCU
Molecule: long non-coding RNA, 688 nt
Organism: Salvelinus sp. IW2-2015
Lineage: Eukaryota; Metazoa; Chordata; Actinopteri; Salmoniformes; Salmonidae
Source: RefSeq, a predicted model, not a curated record